RNAcentral lists this transfer RNA (67 nucleotides) under bovine gut metagenome. It matches the Rfam family "tRNA". From Rfam's summary of the family: Transfer RNA (tRNA) molecules are approximately 80 nucleotides in length. Their secondary structure includes four short double-helical elements and three loops (D, anti-codon, and T loops). The record is from RNAcentral.
UGGGGUAGCUCAGUAGGUAGAGCAUUUCCAUGGUAAGGAAAAGGUCGUGGGUUCGAUUCCCACUCCC